UACGUAGGUGGCAAGCGUUGUCCGGAUUUAUUGGGUUUAAAGGGUGCGUAGGCGGCCCUGUAAGUCAGUGCUGAAAUAUCCCGGCUUAACCGGGAGGGUGGCAUUGAUACUGCGGGGCUAGAGUACAAAUGAGGUAGGCGGAAUUGACGGUGUAGCGGUGAAAUGCUUAGAUAUCGUCAAGAACACCUAUAGCGAAGGCAGCUUACUAGGCUGUAACUGACGCUGAGGCACGAAAGUGUGGGGAUCAAACAGG
Molecule: ribosomal RNA, 253 nt
Filed under: uncultured bacterium
Lineage: Bacteria
Description: partial 16S ribosomal RNA
Rfam family: Bacterial small subunit ribosomal RNA
Source: RNAcentral